RNAcentral lists this ribosomal RNA (257 nucleotides) under uncultured bacterium. RNAcentral describes it as "partial 16S ribosomal RNA". It matches the Rfam family "Bacterial small subunit ribosomal RNA", at positions 524 to 777 of the family's 1533-position model. The record is from RNAcentral.
UACGGGGGGAGCAAGCGUUGUUCGGAUUUACGUGGGCGUAAAGGGCGCGUAGGCGGCUUUGUAAGUCGGGGGUGAAAGCCUGUGGCUCAACCACAGAAUUGCCUUCGAUACUGCAUGGCUUGAGACCGGGAGAGGUUAGUGGAACGUGCAGUGUAGAGGUGAAAUUCGAUAGAUAUUCGCAAGAACACCAGUGGCGAAGGCGGACUGCUGGUCCGGUUCGUGACGCUGAGGCGCGAAAGCGUGGGGAGCAAACAGGG